This 253-nucleotide ribosomal RNA is filed under the name uncultured bacterium. RNAcentral's name for it is "partial 16S ribosomal RNA". It matches the Rfam family "Bacterial small subunit ribosomal RNA", at positions 524 to 776 of the family's 1533-position model. The record is from RNAcentral.
UACGGGGGGGGCAAGCGUUGUUCGGAAUUACUGGGCGUAAAGGGCUCGUAGGCGGCCAACUAAGUCAGACGUGAAAUCCCUCGGCUUAACCGGGGAACUGCGUCUGAUACUGGAUGGCUUGAGUUUGGGAGAGGCAUGCGGAACUGUAGGUGGAGCGGUGAAAUGCGUUGAUAUCUACAGGAACUCCGGUGGCGAAAGCGGCGUGCUGGACCUUUUCUGACGCUGAGGCGCGAAAGCUAGGGGAGCAAACGGG